This 270-nucleotide ribosomal RNA is filed under the name uncultured archaeon. RNAcentral describes it as "partial 16S ribosomal RNA". It matches the Rfam family "Archaeal small subunit ribosomal RNA", at positions 477 to 747 of the family's 1478-position model. The record is from RNAcentral.
CAGCACCUCAAGUGGUCAGGAUGAUUAUUGGGCCUAAAGCAUCCGUAGCCGGCGCUGUAAGUUUUCGGUUAAAUCUGUACGCUCAACGUACAGGCUGCCGGGAAUACUGCAGCGCUAGGGAGUGGGAGAGGUAGACGGUACUCGGAAGGAAGGGGUAAAAUCCUUUGAUUUAUUGAUGACCACCUGUGGCGAAGGCGGUCUACCAGAACACGUCCGACGGUGAGGGAUGAAAGCUGGGGGAGCGAACCGGAUUAGAUACCCGAGUAGUCC